UACGUAGGGUGCGAGCGUUGUCCGGAAUUAUUGGGCGUAAAGGGCUCGUAGGCGGUUUGUCGCGUCGGGAGUGAAAACACACAGCUUAACUGUGUGCUUGCUUCCGAUACGGGCAGACUAGAGGUAUGCAGGGGAGAACGGAAUUCCUGGUGUAGCGGUGAAAUGCGCAGAUAUCAGGAGGAACACCCGUGGCGAAAGCGGCUCUCUGGGACGGUACUGACGCUGAGACGCGAAAGCGUGGGGAGCAAACAGG
Molecule: ribosomal RNA, 253 nt
Filed under: uncultured bacterium
Lineage: Bacteria
Description: partial 16S ribosomal RNA
Rfam family: Bacterial small subunit ribosomal RNA
Source: RNAcentral